CGGAAGGUCCAAGCGUUACUCGGAAUUACUGGGCGUAAAGCGCGCGUAGGCGGUCUUGUAUGUCGAUUGUGAAAGCCCCGGGCUCAACCUGGGAACUGCAGUCGAAACUGCAAGACUUGAAUGUUGGAGAGGUUGGGGGAAUACCUAGUGGAGAAGUGAAAUUCGUAGAGAUUAGGUGGAACACCAGAGGCGAAGGCGCCUGACUGGCCAAACAUUGACGCUGAGGCGCGAAAGCGUGGGUAGCAAACAGGAUUAGAUACCCUGGUAGUCCACGCCGUAAACUAUGGACACUCGCCGUUCGAAGCAUUAACCCUUUGAGUGGCAAAGCUAACGCAUUAAGUGUCCCGCCUGGGAAGUACGGUCGCAAGACUA
This 372-nucleotide ribosomal RNA is filed under the name uncultured organism. Its description in RNAcentral is "bacterial SSU rRNA". It matches the Rfam family "Bacterial small subunit ribosomal RNA", at positions 526 to 896 of the family's 1533-position model. The record is from RNAcentral.